RNAcentral lists this unclassified non-coding RNA (558 nucleotides) under Hevea brasiliensis (rubber tree). The record is from RNAcentral. Lineage: Eukaryota; Viridiplantae; Streptophyta; Magnoliopsida; Malpighiales; Euphorbiaceae.
GCUGAAUGCUGGUGUCCGGUCCUACUUCCAUAUACAGAACAGGAAUGCAUCAAAGUUUCUUCAAACUCAGCUGUUCCCUGACAAAUCUGAGCAGGGCGAGUACUCAUCACUUCACCCUUACGUUUCCAAUUUACACACAAAGAAAGGUCCUUGAAAUUGACGGGCAAUCCUUUUAUGGAAUGAACAUGAAGAAAGAAACAACAACUGAACCGUCGAUGGAGGAUAUGAGUUAGAACCUUUAAUGGCUUCCAACUCCAUAUUGAUGAUUUCUUCUGUUUAUGCAGCAUGUAAUCAGCAAUACUGGAACUGUAUUUGGAGACAUGGAUAUCACCAACGGAAUCAUGCCCAUUAUCUGCUUGAAAAGUUAAAGCCUUCUGAGGGGAUUUAUGUACAUAAAGAGCUUUACUAAUUUCUUCAAUGUCACGCAAGAAUCGCCCACCAUUCAGAUCCCCACUAUUGUUUUUCCAAGACAUCUUCUUAUUCACAGGUGAGAUCCAUCUGUUAAACAAAACUCGAAAUCUUCAAAAGCUCCAUCGGAAUCCAUGGACGGAGCUGCUG